This 484-nucleotide ribosomal RNA is filed under the name uncultured bacterium. RNAcentral's name for it is "partial 16S ribosomal RNA". It matches the Rfam family "Bacterial small subunit ribosomal RNA", at positions 30 to 507 of the family's 1533-position model. The record is from RNAcentral.
AUUGAACGCUGGCGGCAGGCCUAACACAUGCAAGUCGAGCGGAUGAAGGGAGCUUGCUCCUGGAUUCAGCGGCGGACGGGUGAGUAAUGCCUAGGAAUCUGCCUGGUAGUGGGGGAUAACGUCCGGAAACGGGCGCUAAUACCGCAUACGUCCUGAGGGAGAAAGUGGGGGAUCUUCGGACCUCACGCUAUCAGAUGAGCCUAGGUCGGAUUAGCUAGUUGGUGGGGUAAAGGCCUACCAAGGCGACGAUCCGUAACUGGUCUGAGAGGAUGAUCAGUCACACUGGAACUGAGACACGGUCCAGACGCCUACGGGAGGCAGCAGUGGGGUAUAGUGGACAAUGGGCGAAAGCCUGAUCCAGCCAUGCCGCGUGUGUGAAGAAGGUCUUCGGAUUGUAAAGCACUUUAAGUUGGGAGGAAGGGCAGUAAGUUAAUACCUUGCUGUUUUGACGUUACCAACAGAAUAAGCACCGGCUAACUUCGUG